Long non-coding RNA from Rattus norvegicus (Norway rat), 4913 nucleotides. RefSeq lists it as uncharacterized. Lineage: Eukaryota; Metazoa; Chordata; Mammalia; Rodentia; Muridae. The record is from RefSeq and is a predicted model, not a curated record.
GUAGGAGCUCUCGCCACCUCAAAACCAAGACACUUGUUUCCAAUUUUCAGAGAAAGGGGGGUGGGGAAAGAGAUUCUCUAAAGUCUCUGAAUCAUUGCCCAUCUGUUCGCUCACAAGUCUGUGGAGGAACCAAACUCACAGAAGAGGGGAAAGUGCUUGAAACUUAAACUCACCAGUUUUUUGACUGUCUCCUCAACUAGAAUGUCAGCUUCGUCUGAGAGUGACAAAGGACAGCGGGUCCACACUGUUCAACAGCCUGUCACCUUGGCGAGGAGCCAUGCAGCACUAACAGUCAUCAAAUGUGCACUGCUUUCAGCUUUCGUUAAAUGCUUCUGCAUUCUUUGAACCCUCUGAUAGCCCUGUGAAGGGAAAAGGUAUCCUACAUCAUGAACAUUGUCAUGAGUGGAUCGUCUCUGGAGCUUUGCCAAACUCUAACAGAAGUGUGAACCUGGCCAACGCCUGGACCUCCGGAGGUCUGUUUCCACCUGUCUCCUCAAAUAAAAGACUUGCAGGCCAUGGACAGCUGGUGGUCGGCUUGUGCAAGACAAGAAAGAAUUUGGCUCUGUGCGGCCUAUGAAGCUCUGCCCCGACAGUCAGGACAGUGGCAGUGACUAGUUUUAAAAGAACACAGGCAACAUGACAGCCACAUAGAGCCAUGCAGCUGGAGGGAUCUGGGAGUCUCCUGAUGACACCAAGGCUGAGACCCUCAAGGCCUACAGGAGCACAGACAGAGGUGCCCACACUGUGACCUCCGGGCCUCAUCUAGGGUCCUGGCAGUCAUAUGGCAUCCCAAAGCCACAGCAAAGAAGACAGGUCAAGCCUGUGGUCUGCCCCAGCCCGUGAGUGAACUUUCUGUAACUUCUCAGCACCAGCAAUUAGGACUCCUGCUGGGUCUGAGCAAACCUGAAUGCUAUUCAGGAAGCUUGAUCACAUUGGUGCAAGGGGCUCGUUACAGGUGGGGACUGUCCCGGGUCCCUAGGAGAGGAAACACAGCACCGGUACCUCAGCAGCACUCUGGUACAUCUGGACUUUCUCCUUCAUUCCUUGGAGCUGUGCUAGUUGAUGAGCUGUGGCGCAUAGCCAGAGUGUUUCCAGAACUGUUAGCUAUUAUGUCCCCCCAAAUAAUCAAUUGCAUGCAGCGAUCUGCUUCUUUCCUUCAAAGCAACUGCAGAGCUAAAACUCCAGGCUCUUUCUAGGGCACACAUUACUUGCUCACCAACAGGGGGUCCACAUCUCCAGAUACCCCACUUUCUUUCCAUUCCUCACUCAGCACCAGAUGCAAGUCCUCUUGGUCUCCAGGCACCAUAACGCCCUUAUGGGCGUCUCAAAGUGCUGUUGGCAGAGUGAACUAAGGUCCCAGCCAUAGGAGACCCUUUCCUCAAAGCACUGUCUCUGCAUAGAUUAUUACAGACAAUAAAGCAUACUGACCGGACAGGUUCAAAUCCACAAAUAGCAGACUGCCCGGUGAAUAGGUAAAGCCGCCAUUAUGUAUCAGCCAGAGAAGCAAAGAGCUGAAUGCCUCCUGUCUGCCUUCUUUCUACUCUUUCCCUUCCACAUCUACCUGUCCAGCAGCCCUCUUUCCCUCCCACCUCCUCCUUUCUCCCCCCUCUUUUCUCUUCUCCCAUCUCCUCCCCUUCCCCCUUCCUUAUCUCCCUUGCCUGUCUCCUUUCCAGGCUCCAUGCCCCUCUCGCAGCCCCGAUGCACAGCUUUCUGCCUUUCCCUCUUCACUUUAGAGCCCUUAGGGCAACUCCAUAGCAAACAGACAAAGUUUGUCUCACACACACACACACACACACACACACACACACACACACACACACACCAUUAGAGCUGGGGCACCUUUUAGUGAUGCUAUUUAAAACCCACAGCUUACUGUUUGGCUGGGGCCACAGUUUUAGUAGGAAUGUUAAAAGCUGACUACUAGCUGAUAGAUACAUAGUUCAUACCCAAAGGUGGAAAUCCUGGGCCCAAGAUGCCUGGGACAUUAGUGUAUUAAAAAGCAUAAGAAGGACUGAGACUAUAGGUCAGUGUGGAGAUCUUGCCUGGCAUGUGUGAGCUCCUAGUUUAGUUGCCAAGCCUGAAAACACACAAACAGAAACACAGAAAAGGGUUUAAGAGAUUGUUCCUUAAGUAAGAACACUCGCAGUGACUGUAAGAGGACCAGAGUUCAAAUCCCCAGUAUCAAGCCAUAACCGCAGUGUUAAGGGCUUAGAAGAGUGACAUAGGAGAUUGGGCCUAACUAAAACAGCAAGCUCAAGGCUCAGUGAUUGCCCUAGUCAGGGCUUCUAUUGUUGGGAUAAACAUUAUGACUAAAGCAGCUUGGGAAGGAAGAGUUUGUUUGUCUUAUACUUCCAUAGCACUGUCCAUCACCAAAGGAAGUCAGGGUAGGAACUCAAACAGGGCAGGAACCUGGAGGCAGGAACUAAGGCAGACACCACGGAGGAAGCUGCUUCCUAGCUGGUUCCUCAUGUCUUUUCCAACCUGCUUCCUUAUAAAAUCCAGGACCACCAGCCCAAGGGUAGCACCAUCCACAAUGGGCUGGGCCCUCUGAAUCAAUAACUAAUUCAGAAACUGCCCUACUGGCUUGCCUACAGCCUGAUGUAUGGGGCAUUUUCUUGAUUGAGGUUCCCUCUCAGUUGACUUUAGCUUGUACCAAGUUGACAUAAAACCAGCCAGAACAGUGACACAUUCUUUCAAAAAUAGAUGAAAACUAUAGAAGAAGACACAUCAUACUGACUCCUCUGGCUCUCUGUAUAUACAUAUAACACAUAUAUACAUACAUACAUGAAUACAUACAUACAUACAUACAUACAUACAUACAUAAAAUCAAAUCACAAGGCACGGGCAGUUCUGUAUACAGUAUCCAAUAGAAUUAACCAGAAAAUUAAAAAACUACUACAUCACUAGCUCUAUGAUCUUGCAGAAAUGUGUUCUAUGUAGGCCUCCAUUUCUAACAAUCUGAGAGGUUCUGAAACUUUGUCCUGCCCCUCCAGGAAGAAUUUAAGGGUUCAUAAGAGAGCUGUUGGUGAUAGUAGAACCCAAGAACAAGAGCAUCAUGGGGUGCAUACCCCUGGCAUGGUGUAAGAGGAGUGAACAGAGAUAGGGGGUGUCCCACACAAGCUUAGUCAUCAGCCGCUGCAAGGAAGCUCCCUUUGAAGCUAGGUACCUGCACAUGGGAGUCUGUAGAGAGGGCUGUGUGCAGCAGGGUCAAAGAGAAAGAAACACAGGGCACUCCACACAGAGAAGUCUCAGCAAUGUCAUAGGAAACUUGUCUUUCAGAAACUUGUCCCAAAUUGAGAUAAGGACAUUUAUAAUUCUGGGGGGAGGUGGCUACCAUUAACAACUGUGAUUGGCUCAAGAAAGGGAGAAGCUGCGAGAAGUGACUGUGUUCCUGAAAAGGGACUAAGGGCUGUCUGCUGGCAGCCCUUUUAGCAUGUAGAGAAAUAGUUCCUUUGAUGUAGAUAAGUGGUCUGGGCCAUGUUUCCAAUGUCCCCUGCCUUGUCCUUAUACUUACAUAAAUAUGGUUUUUUAUUUCCUCAUGCAAUUAGGGAAUAGAAUCAUGCUGAUGUACUUACAGGGGAAAUGUGGGGAAAUUAUUUCUACCUUAAAAAAACGUAACUACUGAUGAGCUGUUCCCAAGACGAACGCACGUCAGAGGCAGGGCACAGAAGCUGACGGAGACCAACAGUGGCAUCCCAAUGAGCUCCUAGACUUGCACUUUAGGUCUCCCUCUACUGGCCAACUCAAUAUUUUGCCUCUUGGAUUUGUUAUCUCAUUGCCCUUAUACUUCAACACAGUCUACGUUUCUGUCCCUUUAGAAACAGUCAGAACUCCUCUUGUGAGUCUGGCUCCCCAUCCUCAUUGGAAGCCUCUUUCUCUACGUCUCCUCCCCAUCUCCCAUGACACUACCUCAGCAUUUUUCACCUUGUGAUUCAUUACCCCUUUAGGGGUGAAUAACGCUUUCACAGGGAUCACAUAUCAGAUAUCCUGUAUAUCAGAUAUUUAUAUUUCAAUUCAUAACAGUAGCACAAUUAUGGUUAUGAAGUAGAAAAAAGAAAUCUUAUGGUUCGGAGGGUCACCACAAGGAACUGUAUUAAAGGGCUGCACCAUUAGGAAGGUUGAGAACCACUGCUCUAAACCAUUACACAUUCCAGCACAGCACUGUGCCCAGCUCUAUAGUACUUUCUAUAGAUGGGCUAUAGUCUUCCCCAGGAUGGACUUCUACAGUCUUUAAAUACUAGACCCAAGUCCCCAUUCCCUAGGCCUCCUCUGAGUCUUCCAUGUACCUACCUAUGGCAUUUAGAUGAACACACAACCAGGUUGACCACGUAGAUAUACCUAGAAGCCAGAUAUAGCGAUGAGAAAUUGAUUAGGCUCCAAAGAUAUUUGUCCUAAGUUUAAGUCUCUUGUCCCUGACUUAAAGCUUUUGAAUGAAUCUGUUAAGGAGUUGAGGGCUGUUUUCUUACUUACUAGAUCAUUACACAGUCUACUUCAAAAGAUUAUUGUGCCGAUAGCAUGAGGGGACAGUGACACGCGUAGAAUGCCUGACUGAGUGUCCAGCAUGGGGCCAAUGCUCUAGAUGUGGUAGGAGCUGCUGGAGGCAGACCCCAGUUCUGCAUUCCCUCCUUUGAGAAGCUCCCCAAUUAGACUGUAAGUUCCCUGAGGGCAAGGCUUAUGGCUUCUUGUUCAUAAUUGCCUCCUAAUGCGUGGCUCACAGCCUGAAUAAAUAUUCAAAGACAUUAAAAUAAGUAUCAUGACACUAUUGAAUGAAAUGGACUUGAACUGAAUCCUUUAUGGUUCCCCAAUGCAGAGGACAUAUCUCAUUUAUUUUUGAAAAGAGGAAAUUAGAAAUUCCAUUAUAUGGUGAUCAGAGCUGUGGUCUUGGCAGCUGAGGAAAGACGAGGUGGCCUGCU